GACGGAGGAGGCUAGCGUUGUUCGGAAUUACUGGGCGUAAAGCGUACGCAGGCGGUUGAUCAAGUCAGGUGUGAAAGCCCGGGGCUCAACCUCGGAAUUGCGCCUGAGACUGGUCAGCUAGAGUUCGGAAGAGGAGAGUGGAAUUCCCAGUGUAGAGGUGAAAUUCGUAGAUAUUGGGAAGAACACCAGUGGCGAAGGCGACUCUCUGGUCCGAUACUGACGCUCAAGUACGAAAGCGUGGGGAGCAAACAGG
RNAcentral lists this ribosomal RNA (253 nucleotides) under uncultured bacterium. Its description in RNAcentral is "partial 16S ribosomal RNA". It matches the Rfam family "Bacterial small subunit ribosomal RNA", at positions 524 to 776 of the family's 1533-position model. The record is from RNAcentral.